AAAAUUGACUAUUAGCUCCUUCCAAAGACGCCGGCGAUCGGACACGAUGAAGCGGAAAUGAACCAAAAGGAAGUCAGCAACGCUGCUGGCGGCACAGCCCAUCACCGGUGGUGGGCCGCCGCGAGCACAGGCCAGUUAGUAUGGGGAAUUCACGCUUUUAGAAAAGGUUACGCCGGUGAAUGUCGACUGAUGCCGCUUAAAGCCUUCGGCGUCGCCUCGCUUUUCGUCGGCGCCAUCGCUUCCGCCUCCGUUGCCUCUCUUCAGGCCUCCGGCAUCCAUUCCGUGGAAGACAUGAAGGCUGUUGGGGCAAGCAUAAGAACCGGACUUGGGUUAACACGAAGGGCACGGGAUGACUAAGUAUUUUGAGCACUAUCUUGAAUCAGUAGCCUAUAGAAUGUUGAAGUAUGAAGAUUAUCCAUCUCUGUGUAGUUUCUUGCUAAAAUCAUUCCAAGGGGAGCACAUAGCUGAAAAGGGGUACCCACUCAUUAACGAUUUUAGCAUUCGAGGCUGACAACUUUUCAAUCUUAAUCCAAGUGAUUUCACACAUUUUCUGGAAUGGCAGCUUUAGCUGAUAAAUUAGUCACCCUCUUCUGCCACCUCUCAUUCAGUUGUGCGACAUUUUUCUUGGUGCUUGUAAGUUGUAACUGCAGCAUUUUCCUCUUUCCCUUCAGCUAAAGUGUUUUCAUGUUGGAUGGGACUAAGAAAUAGUACUGUAAUGGAAAAUACUUAUCACCAGGUGCAUGUACUGAAAAUAAAAGUGCAUGAUAUGUGUUUUAUACGUA
Molecule: non-coding RNA, 782 nt
Organism: Nicotiana tabacum (common tobacco)
Lineage: Eukaryota; Viridiplantae; Streptophyta; Magnoliopsida; Solanales; Solanaceae
Source: RefSeq, a predicted model, not a curated record